This is a non-coding RNA of Podarcis muralis (Common wall lizard), 467 nucleotides long. The record is from RefSeq and is a predicted model, not a curated record. Lineage: Eukaryota; Metazoa; Chordata; Lepidosauria; Squamata; Lacertidae.
AAUGCUGCACUGCGGCAGAGCAAGGCGCCUGGCUUUCUGAAGCUUACCAUGCCUUGGAAAGGAAAUCGGAGGGCUCUGGGAUGCUGCCAGAACCCUCACACAACCGCCUUCCCAAAGUCGGAAGCAGUCCCACAAGGCAGAUGCCAUAGGCAAAACCAAGGAAGUACAAGGAGACAGCUGCUGCCCUACAUCAGCUGAACUAAUUGAGCAAUUACAUCACAGAAAGGGCCUGCAAGAUGGAGCUGUUCCGCCUGGCCUUCGGUCCUGGCCCAGUUUGACCCCCCUCUAUGGGACCCUUUUAUUGGCUCAUGUGGGACCAACAUGGAUAGCUGGCCCUGAUGAAUACUUGAGAUUCCCAAUCUGUAUGGUUGUAAUUCGUGGGCAGUCAUUAAUUUUACCCUGAUUCUAAUUUUUAAGCUGUAUUUUAAUCAAUUGUUCGAUUGUGUUUUAAUGUAUUUGAUAUUUGA